UGUCUAAGUCCUGAGGUGGUGAUACGAGAAUUUGACACAUUUAAUGAGACCAAUCCUGUCAAACCUGCAUUGUCAUGGAUCAAAAGUAAGGUGGCAUGGGGAUACCUGAAAUCAUCUCCAAGGUUCUGUCUGUCAGGUUGCAGUUUUGUGAUAGAUUCAACAGUGUCAAUGAUGACAGAUCUUUGAUGUUUUUAACACCGGAGUCGGUCAAUCCUCCUCCGCAAAUUUCCAGGGACCUCAGAUUUUUAAAGUCUGAAACACAUCAACAUCAACAUAAUCAGAUAUGUUGAAAAGUGUUCGCCAUUAUUUUAAGAAAAAAAGUUGAAAAGCUCAUCAGUUACACUUUUUAUUCCUCAACUAAAUUUUUCAAUAAAUGCUUAUCUAAUUUAUGUUAUUGUUAUCAAUUAAUAUCUGAAUGUGGAGAGUCAAGUGUUCUUGCAGUAAUAAUAUGUAGGUUCACGAUGGCAGUCAAAUCAGCUGAAUCAAAGUCCACAAGGAAUUCAAACUUUCAACAGUGCAGACCUGACAGCGCGAAAAUUAUUAUGUCUAAAUUUACCUGGAAAUUUUCCAUUCCUAAGGUAAAUGAGACCAGUAGCCAUAAUAUAUGGUCAUUCAUAAUAAUAUUCUAGGUGAUGGUGUAAUUCCUAAACUAUCUUGCCCCACAAUGGCUUGCCACAAUUAGAUUGGCAGUAUAUUUAAAGACAACUCAUUUGGCUUUCAGAUUGAAUUCACUGCUGCAAAUCUAUGAUUCUUCAACAUGCAGAUAGCUAAUAAACUUGUAUCAUUAUGUAAAGCCAGAACACAAUAAGGUUACGAAAUGUACAUCGCAAGUAGUUUGUUCCAGAGUCUGUGAUGCGAGCUCCAAAAAGAUCCAGAUGAGUUAAUCCAGUCAAAGCUGAAACAUUAAAAGCAACAAAAAAAAGGAGAGGGUUAAUUUGCCUUGUGAUCAAGAAUGACUUCUGAAUGAAAGCAUAUAAUCGUGCAUAAGAUAGAUGAAUGUAAUUGUUGCAUAAUGAUUAAUAUACCUGUAAGUUUAAUUUCAAGUCUUAUGAGUGUUCUUUACAGAUUUUUUAAAAAAUCAAUCAGGAAUUAGCACAUAUAUUCCAACAUGGUAGAUAGUUAAGCAUACUUACUUGUUAGAGCUGCUAAUCCGGUAUCUGAAAUUUGGCGAACAUCCAAAUUUAGUGAUUUUAGAGAUGUAAGUCCGGACAAUUUUCUCAAACCACUGUCGGUAAUUACAGUAAAUGAUAAAUUUAUGCUCUCCAGAUUAACCAAACC
Humulus lupulus (European hop) is the source of this 1278-nucleotide long non-coding RNA. RefSeq lists it as uncharacterized. The record is from RefSeq and is a predicted model, not a curated record. The transcript is spliced from 2 exons. NCBI's taxonomy places the organism in Eukaryota, Viridiplantae, Streptophyta, Magnoliopsida, Rosales, Cannabaceae.